AUGAACAAGUACAUAGCACUUAUUAUCAGGUUGUUCGUCAAGAAACUCCUGUCCAAAUUCCUGAAGCCAGGAGCUUUUAGAGGUGUCAAUGUGGACACAGUGGACCUCAGGGAUGAGGAGAGCCAAUUGCCAGAUUCUCAGCUUGGUGUGGGCUUCACAACGAGGACGUUAAACCGCCUUGUGGAAGCAGGUGAUGUCUCCAUGGACUCAGCUAAAAACUUCCAUCUCGCAGCCAGGAGCUUUUUUGUGAAGGCAGUCGAGUACGCCACAGCUAAGCUCCCUUUACAUGACCCUGUGCUGGAGCAUUCAAGGUUCGUGGACUUCAGACAAAAAAUGGAUACCACCUGGGAUGAUGUGCUCUACUUUGUUCAUAGGUAUGUAUGCAGCCACCUGGGCUGUAGAGUGAUAUUGGUUCAUUCUGAUUCUGUUGCAAAGACCCUUUUCUCAAACCAUUAUAUCUGUUUAGAUUCAACCAUCCCCUGCCCUACAACCAACCAAUGGAGCAGGACCAGCUGAAUGAUGAGUUCCUAGAGUUUCAGAUGAUGGAGGAGGAAGAUAUACCUGCAUCCAUCUGGGGGGACGCGGUCAUCAGGACAAAUGAGGAUGGGGAGUACCACAGGAUGGCCCACCUAUGGGUAUAUCUGGGAAAUCUUAAGAAUCGGGCAAGUGGCACUUUUAAAUUCCCGAAAUUAUUCAAUGUGGCCCAGAUUGUGUUGAGCAUGCCUCACUCAAAUGCGGAUGCUGAGCGAACAUUUUCACUGAUUGGCCUAAACAAGACUGACACCAGGAACAGACUGUCCCUUGAAGGCACCCUGUCGUCAAUCAUGACUAUGGAAAUGAGCAGCCUUGAACCCUGCUACAGAUACGAACCUCCUGCAGAGGUUGUGAAGCAGGCCAAAACUGCCACUGUGGCAUACAACCUAAUAUCUAACUUCUAGCCUCUGCUGAGGAGUGUACACACACACACACACACACACACACACACACACACACACACACACACACACACACACACACACACACACACACACACACACACACACACACACACACACACACACACACACAGCCCCCCACAGCCAGCUCUGGGGAGCUGGGGUAACUAUUGUGCCUUUUUUUGUUUUUGAAAUUUCUGUCUUUAUUCGAGAUGCCUGUCUAUAUUUUGUAAUAGUGCAACCAAUAAAUGAAUAAAUUAACAUUUUGAAAAAGCGUUUCCAUUCUUUAACCUUUUUUCUUAAAUGAGGGUUUAUACUAAGUAAACGAGGACUAUUUAGUAAAAAAAUAAAUAAAAUUAGGGUUAGGGUUGUCAAAAAUAUUCGCCGCUCACGCUAAUAUUUUAGAGUCUCACUCCAGCCAAAGUCCCAAAGUUGGCAACCCUGAUUUAAGGCUUAAUAAAGGGGAUAGGAACAUUUUUGGUCUGCACAGAUCUAAGUAAUGUAUACUUUACAUUUCAGACUAUUUUCCCAAUCAUACCUUUAUUCACACUUUGUGUUGUCAAUUCAUGCUGCUAAAUGUUCAAUAUAAUUAAGUAUCAAUACUGAUACUUAAUUGUCCUCCUGUGGGAGGACAAAGGCUGAGGCAGUGGUUACUGAUGUCCUGGCACCAGG
This is a long non-coding RNA of Gadus morhua (Atlantic cod), 1607 nucleotides long. The record is from Ensembl. Lineage: Eukaryota; Metazoa; Chordata; Actinopteri; Gadiformes; Gadidae.